RNAcentral lists this non-coding RNA (24 nucleotides) under Arabidopsis thaliana (thale cress). The record is from RNAcentral. Lineage: Eukaryota; Viridiplantae; Streptophyta; Magnoliopsida; Brassicales; Brassicaceae.
AAGAAAUGAGUUGCUUGCUACAAG